GUUUAUCGAUAAUGAGGAUCGUUAAACUCUCAGACAAUAAAGAGAAUGUUUGUUGCAUCACAGACAUGAUCGUAUGUUUUACUAACUAAACACAGCAUGUUGUGGAGGGCAUAUCAGUUUGUCUUGAAACAAUUUUACUGCACAAAGCAAAGGAUUUUUGGAAAGUGCAUUCACCCCUGUAAUUUGUCCAUACUGUAAAUUAUUUUUGCAGCAGUGAUCCAACUGGGAAAAACUGACCAAAAGCAACAGCGAUUUCUUUCAAACUUCCUUUUUGUCAGGGUCCCUGUGCCUACCCGGUCGGCUCAGUACGGCUACAUAUGUUUUGUAUUCCUUUUUUUAUUUUUUUCCUGCUCUCUCCUUUCCCCUCUUUCCCUCCUCCCUCUGCCUGGGCGGAGCUUACCUGCGGGCUCCUGCCCUUGGCCCACGCACCUGUGGCUCAUCACGAGUGAUCCAGCUCCUUUAUAAGACGGCAGCCCUGUGUUUCUCGUCGCUGGACCGUUGCCGACCCUCAUUCCCUGGACCUACCCCUGUGUUACCCGAGUGCGUGGAGUGUGAGGAGGAGUGGACGGAGAGUGUGCGUGUCUUUCCCGUUCGUGUGUGGACCCCCGGAGCCCGGCUUUCCCCUCACUUUUGUAAAUAAUCACCUGGUGCAUCAUAAUAAAGACUCUUGUGCUUUCAAGACCUAGAGCCUGCGCGUGAGUCCGUUCAGUCCCGUUGUGACACUUUUUUUUUUUAACCGUUUGGUGGAACUGGCGAUAAAAGGAAAAAAAGGAUUGUUUUCUGGAGAAAACAUUAACUCAACAAAAGUGACAACUGGACCAGCAGUUCGUUAACUCCAUCUGAUUGAGUAAAAUGGCACUAACUUCAGUGAUCCAACGCAGGAAAAACUGACCAAUAACAACAGAGAUUUCUUUCAAACUUCUUUUUUUUAAAAAAAAGUUUGGUGGAACCAACAGUAAAAGGAAAAAAGGAUUAUUUUCUGGAGAAAACAUUAACUCAACAAAAGCUUUUAGCCGACUCAUCAUUAGUGAGGUGUUCACUGGAGCCUUUUGUGGCUGGACUGGGUUGGGAGCUCGAUAAGCUAACAUGACUGAAUUAACUGAAGUAAACUGAAACUAAUGACAAAUCAAAAGUGCAUCUGUGUUCUUUGCAUAAUAAGUGUAGAUGCUUUCUGCAAAAAUGUAAUUUGUCAAAUAACUUUCAUUAAUUUCUGAAUAAAUUCACUAGAUGCAGACCACUGUGUGUUUUACAUUUUCUUCUGUUCUUCAUAAUUCAGUUCUUGCUUUAACUUCGACCUCUUUUUCUGUUUUCAGUGAAAACUGGACCAACACAUUUCUUAAGCACCAUAAGCCAUAGCAACCUUUAGCAGUUCAUUAAUGUCACCGACUUGCUCGAUACCUGCUAUAGACUCUGCACACAUGGAAGCCAAUCAGAGAUCGUACACUGUUAAACUUCCAACAUCUGAGUUCAUUAUUAGCUGUUGAGGUUAAGCAUUCAGUCAACACAGAAACACUGGGGAGGAUGUUUUCUGUACUCUGUAAGGACCAGUGAUGGAUGUGGGGCUGAAGCCUUUAGGUUUAUAUUGUUAAAAAGUAAUUAUGAGAGAAUUUGUUUCAGGUCGUUUUUCAGAGUAACAUGAAAGUAACAUAAUGAAUAAUGUAACAAAUUAACUUUUAGUAAACUACUGCAUUACUUCUAAGAAAGGUGUUCUGUGUAAUAUGUUUAUUUAUUUCUCGAGUAAUAACCUCAACAGCGGUAAGCACAGAUAAUUUUGUUGAUAAUGAGAACGCACUGCUCAUUAAGUUUUAAAAUUACAUUUUAAAAGUCAAAUGAACAAAAUGUGUGUCAAAACAAGCAUUUAGCUCGAUUUCAACUUCUCUGGUCUCUGCAGUAACCUCUUUGUGGUGUAUUUUUUUCCACUUUAACAGUCAAAUAUUAACCACAGGCACUAAAACUGUGUCCUUUACAUCUGCUUCCUCUCUAUUUUAUGGCCUCACAGAGAGUAGUAGUAACAUGUGGUGUAGCUUACUGAUGGCCACUUUAACAUGAAUUCAAAUUGAAAUUUCCACAAGUCAUAAUAGCUAAACCCAGAGAUUUAAAUUCUUUUACAAUCAAGGCCUGUGAGCACCAGUCAAUUUACAUGAAAGUAAAUGAAGUGUAAAAUAUAACUGUGCACAGUUUGUAGAUUUUCUGUGAGUGAGUUAUUUUUUUCAUUUCUUAGCAGUCAUAUAAUGCUUAUUUUCUUUGUCACUUAUUUGUGUAUUUACUGUGUAAAUGUUUGUAAUAGAUAAGUCAGGGCAAGUUUGUUGACGGUGUAAGCCUCAUUUAUUCUCCAGGUUUCAGUACUGUUGUUUACUGUGGCUUGAUUUUCUGUAGAAAGUGUAAUGAAGAAAACUUCUGUUAUGAAACAGCACAUUCCUCAUUUCAAAAGCGC
This is a long non-coding RNA of Astatotilapia calliptera (eastern happy), 2434 nucleotides long. NCBI's taxonomy places the organism in Eukaryota, Metazoa, Chordata, Actinopteri, Cichliformes, Cichlidae. The record is from Ensembl.